Ctenopharyngodon idella (grass carp) is the source of this 766-nucleotide long non-coding RNA. RefSeq lists it as uncharacterized. The record is from RefSeq and is a predicted model, not a curated record. The transcript is spliced from 3 exons. NCBI's taxonomy places the organism in Eukaryota, Metazoa, Chordata, Actinopteri, Cypriniformes, Xenocyprididae.
GAGAUACCAUACAGCAUGCAACCUUCAUGGCACAGAGGUCCCAGCUAUCCAGAAGUAAAUAUUUCUCUGUUGCAUAUCGUAAGACAGGCUGAAAUUGAUGUCAGGUCUCCAGGCGCCGCUGAGCCAACGAAGCAGGAUGAAAUUUUUCAUGGAAGAUCCUGGGAGAGUAUUGAUCAGACUGUGGCUCUAAAAGGCUUUAAUUGGCCAUCUCUUAUUAGGGAAAGUGAAAGCCUCAAACGUCAUGUGGUAGAUACAAACAAGAGAAAAGCUGUGCGUGUGGCCUCAUUUCCACACAGAAACCUCCUCAACAUGAAACACAGCACAGAACGCCCUCCGGCUCCUCUGAUGACUUUGAGACUUGUCGCUCUUACAGAUGAUAUCUGUAUUCCUGUCAUCUGUACUUGCAGACACAAACUGCUACACUGCAAAUAUAAAGAGAUGUACAUUAAAGUUCAACUUUAAUUAAAAAGUGUGUCUGUUGUACAGUAUGAUCUACUAAAUGAAAAAGGUUGCUAUAUCUAGCGUUCCACACUGUACAAGACUGAUAUCACAACAUGCUGAUGUGCUUGUGAUCCUUGAAGUCAAUAACUUACAAUACUGGACAACUGUGGGUUUUUCACAUUUAUUUAUAGUUCCAAAAUUAACACUAAAAAUUUUAAGAACUGUUUUCAGUAACUGAAAUAAAAAAGCUGAAAUAAAUGAAAUAAAAAAUAAAAAAAAAUGAAAAACUUAAAAGAAAAUUAGAAAUGUUGCCUUGAUAUCUAAC